GAUGAACGCUAGCUACAGGCUUAACACAUGCAAGUCGAGGGGCAGCACUAGGUAGCAAUACUGAGGUGGCGACCGGCGCACGGGUGCGUAACGCGUAUCCAACCUUCCCGUUACUCUUGGAUAGCCUUCCGAAAGGGAGAUUAAUACAAGAUGGUAUUCAAAUUCCGCAUGUUAUUUGAAUUAAAGAUUUAUCGGUAACGGAUGGGGAUGCGUGACAUUAGGUAGAUGGCGGGGUAACGGCCCACCAUGCCUACGAUGUCUAGGGGUUCUGAGAGGAAGGUCCCCCCACACUGGAACUGAGACACGGUCCAGACUCCUACGGGAGGCAGCAGUGAGGAAUAUUGGUCAAUGGUCGAGAGACUGAACCAGCCAAGUAGCGUGCAGGAUGACGGCCCUCCGGGUUGUAAACUGCUUUAGUUGGAAUAAGUUCGGGACGUGUCCCGUUUUGUAUGUACCAUCAG
This 461-nucleotide ribosomal RNA is filed under the name uncultured bacterium. RNAcentral's name for it is "bacterial SSU rRNA". It matches the Rfam family "Bacterial small subunit ribosomal RNA", at positions 28 to 484 of the family's 1533-position model. The record is from RNAcentral.